GAUGGCCACACACACGAACGCACGCAUGGACACACACGCACAAACACCAAUGAGAACUACUAUCUAGGUUGAGGUACCGCAAGACCAUACAAACAUGCCGACAACCAUCCGUGGAGAUCAGUCGACAGAGGGCCGGACAACGGGCCGCACCAAAAAAACGCAUGGUUGCCAAGAAAGCGGCCACUGGAUUGAAUGGGGGCUCAGGGCAGUACCAUUCUGCUCAUCUGAUGAAGGUGCACAUGGAUCACAUUCAAACUGACAGAGAUCGAGUUAGAGGCAGACCAGCAGAAAGAGAAACAUUAUCGGAGGGCAGAGAUACGGGCGACAGCUGAUGCAUUGGUCCAGAACCAGGCAGCAUUGGCGGAGAGACAGGCGGAGAAUGGCGCUUUGAAGAGGGCGAGGAACAAGAUGGAGUUACAAUCCAUGCCAGGCACACCUGUGAGCUCUGGAACUCCACCUCCGACAGGC
RNAcentral lists this long non-coding RNA (468 nucleotides) under Salmo salar (Atlantic salmon). RNAcentral describes it as "lncRNA (ENSSSAG00000107790.1)". Lineage: Eukaryota; Metazoa; Chordata; Actinopteri; Salmoniformes; Salmonidae. The record is from RNAcentral.